UCACAGAUUCAGAUGAUGUCAGGU
RNAcentral lists this non-coding RNA (24 nucleotides) under Rattus norvegicus (Norway rat). The record is from RNAcentral. Lineage: Eukaryota; Metazoa; Chordata; Mammalia; Rodentia; Muridae.